Molecule: ribosomal RNA, 1496 nt
Filed under: Alcaligenes sp. SGE1
Lineage: Bacteria; Pseudomonadati; Pseudomonadota; Betaproteobacteria; Burkholderiales; Alcaligenaceae
Description: bacterial SSU rRNA
Rfam family: Bacterial small subunit ribosomal RNA
Source: RNAcentral
AGAGUUUGAUCAUGGCUCAGAUUGAACGCUAGCGGGAUGCCUUACACAUGCAAGUCGAACGGCAGCACGGACUUCGGUCUGGUGGCGAGUGGCGAACGGGUGAGUAAUGUAUCGGAACGUGCCUAGUAGCGGGGGAUAACUACGCGAAAGCGUAGCUAAUACCGCAUACGCCCUACGGGGGAAAGCAGGGGAUCGCAAGACCUUGCACUAUUAGAGCGGCCGAUAUCGGAUUAGCUAGUUGGUGGGGUAACGGCUCACCAAGGCGACGAUCCGUAGCUGGUUUGAGAGGACGACCAGCCACACUGGGACUGAGACACGGCCCAGACUCCUACGGGAGGCAGCAGUGGGGAAUUUUGGACAAUGGGGGAAACCCUGAUCCAGCCAUCCCGCGUGUGCGAUGAAGGCCUUCGGGUUGUAAAGCACUUUUGGCAGGAAAGAAACGUCAUGGGCUAAUACCCCGUGAAACUGACGGUACCUGCAGAAUAAGCACCGGCUAACUACGUGCCAGCAGCCGCGGUAAUACGUAGGGUGCAAGCGUUAAUCGGAAUUACUGGGCGUAAAGCGUGCGCAGGCGGUUCGGAAAGAAAGAUGUGAAAUCCCAGAGCUUAACUUUGGAACUGCAUUUUUACUACCGAGCUAGAGUGUGUCAAGAAGGGAGGUGGAAUUUCCGCGUGUAGCAGUGAAAUGCGUAGAUAUGCCGGAUGGAACACCCGAUUGGCGAAAGGCAGCCUCCUGGGAUAACACUGACGCUCAUGCACGAAAGCGUGGGGAGCAACCAGGAUUAGAUACCCUGGUAGUCCACGCCCUAAACGAUGUCAACUAGCUGUUGGGGCCUUCGGGCCUUGGUAGCGCAGCUAACGCGUGAAGUUGACCGCCUGGGGAGUACGGUCGCAAGAUUAAAACUCAAAGGAAUUGACGGGGACCCGCACAAGCGGUGGAUGAUGUGGAUUAAUUCGAUGCAACGCGAAAAACCUUACCUACCCUUGACAUGUCUGGAAUUCCGAAGAGAUUUGGAAGUGCUCGCAAGAGAACUGGAACACAGGUGCUGCAUGGCUGUCGUCAGCUCGUGUCGUGAGAUGUUGGGUUAAGUCCCGCAACGAGCGCAACCCUUGUCAUUAGUUGCUACGAAAGGGCACUCUAAUGAGACUGCCGGUGACAAACCGGAGGAAGGUGGGGAUGACGUCAAGUCCUCAUGGCCCUUAUGGGUAGGGCUUCACACGUCAUACAAUGGUCGGGACAGAGGGUCGCCAACCCGCGAGGGGGAGCCAAUCCCAGAAACCCGAUCGUAGUCCGGAUCGCAGUCUGCAACUCGACUGCGUGAAGUCGGAAUCGCUAGUAAUCGCGGAUCAGCAUGUCGCGGUGAAUACGUUCCCGGGUCUUGUACACACCGCCCGUCACACCAUGGGAGUGGGUUUUACCAGAAGUAGUUAGCCUAACCGCAAGGGGGGCGAUUACCACGGUAGGAUUCAUGACUGGGGUGAAGUCGUAACAAGGUA